Chlorocebus sabaeus (green monkey) is the source of this 1068-nucleotide non-coding RNA. NCBI's taxonomy places the organism in Eukaryota, Metazoa, Chordata, Mammalia, Primates, Cercopithecidae. The record is from RefSeq and is a predicted model, not a curated record.
GCAUUCAGAUCACCAACGCUGUGACCUCGCUGUGUGAAUGGGAGCUGCUACAGGAAGGAAGCUUACAAACGAACUGCAUGGAUCCCACAUUUUGCUAAAAUCAAAUAGGACCUUUCUCCUCUUUGUUGAAUGCCGUAAUGCACAAGAAAUAAGCCAGCAGAAUGCUCACGUCCAAGAGAGAAGAACAACAUGGAUGAUAAAGACCAAUGUGGUUAUUUGUAAAUCUAAUCUUUUGAAAGGUCUGCCUUCAUCUACCACCUGAGCUGGCAUGAAACAACUUCUGGGGUUCAAAUCUUCUGAACAAUGAUGCAAGUCUUAGCAAAUUUCAAGAACAAUUUAAAGAGGAAAUAAAUAGCUUUUUGUUUAACUUAGAUCAAUUAUCUCCUUUUGCUCCCAGCUUCAUGCCAGGUACUCUCCAUUGUGCCUGGCAAAUAUGAAUCCCUGCCAUCAUGAAAAAAGAUUGGCUACGAGGAUUUUCCCUACAAUCCAAGGACUAUUUGAAGUUUGAAGUCUUUCAGCUCACACAACACUGGCUAUUUUCACCUUUGCCUUCAACUAUAAAGGCUGGGGUCUCUCUGCAGGAGUAGGUAAGUACAGCCCAUGGCGGAGAAGAGAGAAAAAGUCUUUGAGUGCAGUACAGGCUCUAUCACAAUCGAUGGGCCUCAUUAGCCAUUCUCAGCCUCAUAGAUAAUGCAGUUGUGGAUGGCAUCGUUUGGUCUAGUGAAGAAUUGCCCAGGAGAUUGUGUUGACAUCUGAGAUUUAUUUUAAUCCUUUUUUGCAGAUUUUAUAACGAGCAUUGUAACAAAGUAUGCCAAAGAAUCAUUACGUAUCUUAUAAAAUCUUAAUAACACAAAAAUUAGAAACGUUUUUCAUGCAUAUGUUCAAUUUGUUCAAAGUACUGAUUUUGCUUUGCUGAUUAGCAUAUACUGCCCUGUGAGGGGACCCUGCCUUUGAGAAGUCAUGCUACCUGGAUUGCUGUGUAUAUUUUUAAAUGAGUAGUAUGCAUGUUAUGUUUACCGACCGCUACUGUCAGAUCUUACAGUUUGAACUAAAUGAUGCAGAAUGGAC